This 125-nucleotide small nucleolar RNA is filed under the name Meriones unguiculatus (Mongolian gerbil). RNAcentral's name for it is "Small nucleolar RNA SNORA17 (ENSMUGG00000001196.1)". It matches the Rfam family "Small nucleolar RNA SNORA17". From Rfam's summary of the family: snoRNA ACA 17 belongs to the H/ACA family of snoRNAs and is predicted to guide pseudouridylation of the 28S rRNA at positions U4659 and U4598. Lineage: Eukaryota; Metazoa; Chordata; Mammalia; Rodentia; Muridae. The record is from RNAcentral.
CCUGUUCCUACAGGCAUUGCAGGUGUGGCUGCUGUGUCACAUGUGCGUCAGCAGGUGGCAGAGAGGAGAGGGUCUGUCAAUGCUCAGUGUUCUGACCUGUGAACAUCCUAACAUUACCUGAAAAA